Molecule: transfer RNA, 72 nt
Filed under: Gadus morhua (Atlantic cod)
Lineage: Eukaryota; Metazoa; Chordata; Actinopteri; Gadiformes; Gadidae
Description: tRNA-Phe (GAA) (tRNA-Phe-GAA-9-1)
Rfam family: tRNA
About the family: Transfer RNA (tRNA) molecules are approximately 80 nucleotides in length. Their secondary structure includes four short double-helical elements and three loops (D, anti-codon, and T loops).
Source: RNAcentral
GCCGAAAUAGCUCAGUUGGGAGAGCGUUAGACUGAAGAUCUAAAUGUCCCUGGUUCGAGCCUGGUUUCGGCA